AUUGAACGCUGGCGGCAGGCCUAACACAUGCAAGUCGAACGGUAACAGGAAGACGCUUGCUUCUUUGCUGACGAGUGGCGGACGGGUGAGUAAUGUCUGGGAAACUGCCUGAUGGAGGGGGAUAACUACUGGAAACGGUAGCUAAUACCGCAUAACGUCGCAAGACCAAAGAGGGGGACCUUCGGGCCUCUUGCCAUCGGAUGUGCCCAGAUGGGAUUAGCUAGUAGGUGGGGUAACGGCUCACCUAGGCGACGAUCCCUAGCUGGUCUGAGAGGAUGACCAGCCACACUGGAACUGAGACACGGUCCAGACUCCUACGGGAGGCAGCAGUGGGGAAUAUUGCACAAUGGGCGCAAGCCUGAUGCAGCCAUGCCGCGUGUAUGAAGAAGGCCUUCGGGUUGUAAAGUACUUUCAGCGGGGAGGAAGGGAGUAAAGUUAAUACCUUGACUCAUUGACGUUACCCGCAGAAGAAGCACCGGCUAACUCCGUG
Molecule: ribosomal RNA, 490 nt
Filed under: uncultured bacterium
Lineage: Bacteria
Description: partial 16S ribosomal RNA
Rfam family: Bacterial small subunit ribosomal RNA
Source: RNAcentral